GGGGAUGUGGCGGAACUGGCAGACGCGCACGUUUAAGGGGCGUGUUCUAACGAGUGUGGGUUCAAGUCCCACCGUCCCCACCA
RNAcentral lists this transfer RNA (83 nucleotides) under Clostridiales bacterium. RNAcentral's name for it is "tRNA-Leu". It matches the Rfam family "tRNA". From Rfam's summary of the family: Transfer RNA (tRNA) molecules are approximately 80 nucleotides in length. Their secondary structure includes four short double-helical elements and three loops (D, anti-codon, and T loops). Further hydrogen bonds mediate the characteristic L-shaped molecular structure. tRNAs have two regions of fundamental functional importance: the anti-codon, which is responsible for specific mRNA codon recognition, and the 3' end, to which the tRNAs corresponding amino acid is attached (by aminoacyl-tRNA synthetases). tRNAs cope with the degeneracy of the genetic code in two manners: having more than one tRNA (with a specific anti-codon) for a particular amino acid; and 'wobble' base-pairing, i.e. permitting non-standard base-pairing at the 3rd anti-codon position. The record is from RNAcentral. RNAcentral also lists the same sequence under 1 other name. Lineage: Bacteria; Bacillati; Bacillota; Clostridia; Eubacteriales.